GUUCGGAAACGGACGCUAAUACCGCAUACGUCCUACGGGAGAAAGCAGGGGACCUUCGGGCCUUGCGCUAUCAGAUGAGCCUAGGUCGGAUUAGCUAGUUGGUGGGGUAAUGGCUCACCAAGGCGACGAUCCGUAACUGGUCUGAGAGGAUGAUCAGUCACACUGGAACUGAGACACGGUCCAGACUCCUACGGGAGGCAGCAGUGGGGAAUAUUGGACAAUGGGCGAAAGCCUGAUCCAGCCAUGCCGCGUGUGUGAAGAAGGUCUUCGGAUUGUAAAGCACUUUAAGUUGGGAGGAAGGGCAGUUGCCUAAUACGUAACUGUUUUGACGUUACCGACAGAAUAAGCACCGGCUAACUCUGUGC
Molecule: ribosomal RNA, 365 nt
Filed under: Pseudomonas sp.
Lineage: Bacteria; Pseudomonadati; Pseudomonadota; Gammaproteobacteria; Pseudomonadales; Pseudomonadaceae
Description: bacterial SSU rRNA
Rfam family: Bacterial small subunit ribosomal RNA
Source: RNAcentral